GGGUUGUGAGGUUAAGCGACUAAGCGUACACGGUGGAUGCCCUGGCAGUCAGAGGCGAUGAAGGACGUGCUAAUCUGCGAUAAGCGUCGGUAAGGUGAUAUGAACCGUUAUAACCGGCGAUUUCCGAAUGGGGAAACCCAGUGUGAUUCGUCACACUAUCAUUAACUGAAUCCAUAGGUUAAUGAGGCGAACCGGGGGAACUGAAACAUCUAAGUACCCCGAGGAAAAGAAAUCAACCGAGAUUCCCCCAGUAGCGGCGAGCGAACGGGGAGGAGCCCAGAGCCUGAAUCAGUGUGUGUGUUAGUGGAAGCGUCUGGAAAGGCGCGCGAUACAGGGUGACAGCCCCGUACACAAAAAUGCACAUACUGUGAGCUCGAUGAGUAGGGCGGGACACGUGGUAUCCUGUCUGAAUAUGGGGGGACCAUCCUCCAAGGCUAAAUACUCCUGACUGACCGAUAGUGAACCAGUACCGUGAGGGAAAGGCGAAAAGAACCCCGGCGAGGGGAGUGAAAAAGAACCUGAAACCGUGUACGUACAAGCAGUGGGAGCACGCUUCGGCGUGUGACUGCGUACCUUUUGUAUAAUGGGUCAGCGACUUAUAUUCUGUAGCAAGGUUAACCGAAUAGGGGAGCCGAAGGGAAACCGAGUCUUAACUGGGCGUUAAGUUGCAGGGUAUAGACCCGAAACCCGGUGAUCUAGCCAUGGGCAGGUUGAAGGUUGGGUAACACUAACUGGAGGACCGAACCGACUAAUGUUGAAAAAUUAGCGGAUGACUUGUGGCUGGGGGUGAAAGGCCAAUCAAACCGGGAGAUAGCUGGUUCUCCCCGAAAGCUAUUUAGGUAGCGCCUCGUGAAUUCAUCUCCGGGGGUAGAGCACUGUUUCGGCAAGGGGGUCAUCCCGACUUACCAACCCGAUGCAAACUGCGAAUACCGGAGAAUGUUAUCACGGGAGACACACGGCGGGUGCUAACGUCCGUCGUGAAGAGGGAAACAACCCAGACCGCCAGCUAAGGUCCCAAAGUCAUGGUUAAGUGGGAAACGAUGUGGGAAGGCCCAGACAGCCAGGAUGUUGGCUUAGAAGCAGCCAUCAUUUAAAGAAAGCGUAAUAGCUCACUGGUCGAGUCGGCCUGCGCGGAAGAUGUAACGGGGCUAAACCAUG
RNAcentral lists this ribosomal RNA (1158 nucleotides) under Escherichia coli. Its description in RNAcentral is "partial 23S ribosomal RNA". It matches the Rfam family "Bacterial large subunit ribosomal RNA", at positions 1 to 1191 of the family's 2925-position model. The record is from RNAcentral. Lineage: Bacteria; Pseudomonadati; Pseudomonadota; Gammaproteobacteria; Enterobacterales; Enterobacteriaceae.